GACGAACGCUGGCGGCGUGCUUAACACAUGCAAGUCGAACGGAAAGGCCCUGCUUUUGUGGGGUGCUCGAGUGGCGAACGGGUGAGUAACACGUGAGUAACCUGCCCUUGACUUUGGGAUAACUUCAGGAAACUGGGGCUAAUACCGGAUAGGAGCUCCUGCUGCAUGGUGGGGGUUGGAAAGUUUCGGCGGUUGGGGAUGGACUCGCGGCUUAUCAGCUUGUUGGUGGGGUAGUGGCUUACCAAGGCUUUGACGGGUAGCCGGCCUGAGAGGGUGACCGGCCACAAUGGGACUGAGAUACGGCCCAGACUCCUACGGGAGGCAGCAGUGGGGAAUAUUGCGCAAUGGGCGGAAGCCUGAUGCAGCAACGCCGCGUGCGGGAUGACGGCCUUCGGGUUGUGAACCGCUUUCGCCUGUGACGAAGCGUGAGUGACGGUAAUGGGUAAAGAAGCACCGGCUAACUACGUG
This 468-nucleotide ribosomal RNA is filed under the name uncultured bacterium. RNAcentral's name for it is "partial 16S ribosomal RNA". It matches the Rfam family "Bacterial small subunit ribosomal RNA", at positions 28 to 507 of the family's 1533-position model. The record is from RNAcentral.